Long non-coding RNA from Schistocerca cancellata (South American locust), 256 nucleotides. RefSeq lists it as uncharacterized. The transcript is spliced from 4 exons. NCBI's taxonomy places the organism in Eukaryota, Metazoa, Arthropoda, Insecta, Orthoptera, Acrididae. The record is from RefSeq and is a predicted model, not a curated record.
CAGGGUAAACGUCUGAGCGUUCUUCAGGAUCACUUUCUACAGUCCGUUCCUUCAGACAUCAGGCAAGAAGUGGGCGGUUUUUGGACGAGAAGGCGCCUGUUGUGUAUUAAGGAAUGCUAUGGAGGGUACAUGGACUUGGACGUAACCCGCCUCAGCCACCAACAGGCGACAUACUUUGAGGCGUGACGCUGGACAAGGUCGCGCCUGUGGGCGGCGACGGCGUCGGCGUCGGGGCGCGUGCAUGGCGGCGGCGUCG